Long non-coding RNA from Lutra lutra (Eurasian river otter), 207 nucleotides. RefSeq lists it as uncharacterized. NCBI's taxonomy places the organism in Eukaryota, Metazoa, Chordata, Mammalia, Carnivora, Mustelidae. The record is from RefSeq and is a predicted model, not a curated record. The transcript is spliced from 3 exons.
GAUCAUGACCUGAGCCGAAGGCAGAGGCUUAACCCACUGAGCAACCCAGGUGAAUGUGGAAAAAAAUGUCAAGAUGUUUUCCUGGUCAACUGGUGAUGGGCUUAGCAGUGAAGAUUUCAGGUCUCUAUACCAUGUAGGCUGUACACCAGUACCUAAAAGAGUAAGUUGUCUUAUGUAGAACAAUAAAAUAAAAAUGUUAAAACUGCA